GGCGUGCCUAAUACAUGCAAGUCGAGCGGACAGAAGGGAGCUUGCUCCCGGAUGUUAGCGGCGGACGGGUGAGUAACACGUGGGUAACCUGCCUGUAAGACUGGGAUAACUCCGGGAAACCGGAGCUAAUACCGGAUAGUUCCUUGAACCGCAUGGUUCAAGGAUGAAAGACGGUUUCGGCUGUCACUUACAGAUGGACCCGCGGCGCAUUAGCUAGUUGGUGAGGUAACGGCUCACCAAGGCGACGAUGCGUAGCCGACCUGAGAGGGUGAUCGGCCACACUGGGACUGAGACACGGCCCAGACUCCUACGGGAGGCAGCAGUAGGGAAUCUUCCGCAAUGGACGAAAGUCUGACGGAGCAACGCCGCGUGAGUGAUGAAGGUUUUCGGAUCGUAAAGCUCUGUUGUUAGGGAAGAACAAGUGCAAGAGUAACUGCUUGCACCUUGACGGUACCUAACCAGAAAGCCACGGCUAACUACGUGCCAGCAGCCGCGGUAAUACGUAGGUGGCAAGCGUUGUCCGGAAUUAUUGGGCGUAAAGGGCUCGCAGGCGGUUUCUUAAGUCUGAUGUGAAAGCCCCCGGCUCAACCGGGGAGGGUCAUUGGAAACUGGGAAACUUGAGUGCAGAAGAGGAGAGUGGAAUUCCACGUGUAGCGGUGAAAUGCGUAGAGAUGUGGAGGAACACCAGUGGCGAAGGCGACUCUCUGGUCUGUAACUGACGCUGAGGAGCGAAAGCGUGGGGAGCGAACAGGAUUAGA
RNAcentral lists this ribosomal RNA (758 nucleotides) under Bacillus altitudinis. RNAcentral's name for it is "bacterial SSU rRNA". It matches the Rfam family "Bacterial small subunit ribosomal RNA", at positions 41 to 782 of the family's 1533-position model. Lineage: Bacteria; Bacillati; Bacillota; Bacilli; Caryophanales; Bacillaceae. The record is from RNAcentral.